UGCGCGCCUUGCAGCCACAGUUUGGGGAUAAACCCAAGCGGAAGCGGCCACAGCCAGCUCAGAGCAGCAGCCAUGGCGCCUCCCGUCUCCUCCCUGCCCCGCAUGGCGUCCAGCCCAAUCCCGCCGCCGCAGCUCCCCAAGCCCAGCAGAAGGGCGCUCGCCGUCGCGCCCUGCAGCUCCGCCUCCUCCUCGCCGCCCACCACCUCCUCCCCUCCGUGCCACGCCGCCGCGCCUCCGGCGGGUCGGAGGGGGAUGCUGGCGCUGGGCGCGGGGUUCCUGGCCUCGGCCGCGCUGCUGGCCCCGGCCGGGGACGCCGGGGCGACGCGCAUCGAAUACUACGCGACUGUCGGGGACAAGCUCUGCGACAUGAGCCUCGUCAAGUCGGGGCUCGCGUACUGCGACGUCGAGGUUGGCACCGGCGCCCAGCCCCCGCGCGGCGAGCUCAUCAAUGUUCACUACACUGCAAGAUUUCCUGAUGGUACAGUGUUCGACAGCACCUACAAGCGCGGCAGGCCACUGACAAUGCGUAUCGGCGCUGGGAAGAUCCUCCGUGGGCUUGAACAGGGAAUCAGUGGAGGUGGAGGAGUGCCGCCCAUGCUUGUUGGUGGAAAGCGCAAGCUUAUGAUACCUGCAACUCUGGCGUACGGGCCUGAACCAGCAGGCUGCUUCUCAGGUCAAUUUUUGCACCCUAACCUGAAAAGUAAAAAAAAAAAGGCUUCUGUGGCAUUUGACUGCACCACAAAGAAGCACUUUCAGAAUUGCUCCAACUUACUAGCACUGUCAGCAAACUGCACAUGCGUUCAGAACUUCAGACCAUCUGCUUAUUUUAACAGGAGAUUGCAACAUUCCUGGAAACUCCACACUUCUAUAUGACCUUUUCCUAGUCGGGAUUUACAAGUGAGCAUCCAAUGAGAUGACAAGGAACAUUCAGGAAUUAGAACAGACAAGGCAGAAGUCUAUCAUGCAGAUAAAGAGAACGGUUCCUGGAACACAUGGUCCCAAUACCGCGGAUGAAGAGAACGCUUCUGGCAAUACUCGCGAAAGCUUGUGAAUAACAUUUAUAUUUUCUUACCUAGCCGAUCGGCAAUGUUCCUGACCUAUUUCCGAAGAAAAUAAAGCCCACCUGGAUUGCAUCAUCAUGGAGCUAGCUUUGUAAAGAUCAUUCAAUCAUAUUGUUGUCAUAGCAGUUUAGCACAGUCAAAGCGACCAA
Panicum virgatum (switchgrass) is the source of this 1210-nucleotide RNA transcript. It is a transcript of the gene named photosynthetic NDH subunit of lumenal location 4, chloroplastic-like, with no coding region annotated. The transcript is spliced from 5 exons. The record is from RefSeq and is a predicted model, not a curated record. NCBI's taxonomy places the organism in Eukaryota, Viridiplantae, Streptophyta, Magnoliopsida, Poales, Poaceae.